UAGCACCGAAAACAUAAUUUACCCUUUCUUUUUCUAAUUUUUUUUUUCCUUUUCUUUUUCCAUUGGAUCUGUUGAACCUACAAACCUAAUGACCCAUUCCCAAAUCUUCUCUCCCGUUUUCUCGGCGGAAAAUGGCAAUUCCGUACUUACAAACAAACUCGUCAACACCGAGUCACCAACUCACCCCCAUACUCCUGUGAUAAUGAUAUCACCAAAUCGUCGACUCGGUGUACCGAGUUACCAGUGGGGCAGCAAAUCGUUGCACAGUGUUGCUGCUGCUGACGCUUCUUCUGAUUCCUAACUCUACCAAAUAGUAAGAUCAAGUGAGAGGAUCACCGCCAAAGCCAAGAUCAUUAAGGCAACAAACCUGCAAACAGUGUCUAAACCUGUCAAUGUGCUGCUGGUCAUACUUAUUUCCCCCAAACUUAUCACCAUGGGAAGUUAUCAAGUUAAAAUCACCAUAAAUGAUCCGUUUAUUUUUAUUGGAAUUGUAAGUGUAAAGAUCAUUAAUAAUAGAGCAGAUUUGAAGUAACUGUCAUAGAUCAGAAAAGCCAUAAAAACCUGUUGCCUCUCCAUCUAUCAUUAUCAGUGUUAGAAGUAACUGUCAUAUAUAAUAAAUUAGGACUUUUAUCAUAAAUUUCAAUAGUAACAGAAUUAUUCCAGAAACAAGCAAAGGCCACCAGCUCUACCAUUACCACUGAUAUCACAGCUGUAAGCCACAAAAUUAUUCAUACCAACCUAUGUUCCUGAUAUGGAACAUUUCAUUUUCUUUAAUUUUUGUUUCACAAAGGAAGAUCAUGUCCCAGGUUUCUUAAGAUUGAUCAGGUUCUUCAGAGGUCUAACUGUACAAGGGGUACCAAGUCCUCAACAGUUCCACGAAAGAAUUUUCAUAUCAUUCCUGUUCUAGCAGGCCUGCCGUUCUAUUGAGGUUAUGUUGAUCCAUGUCCGUUAUAGCUAAUUCAUCUAUCUUCUUUCUUUUGUGAUUUUGUUCUUAUUCUGCAUGCAUUUGUUGUAUCUAUUCUGCCACGGUGCUUGGUUCAGGGUGUAUUUUGCCUGAUUUGUUCUUGGAAACUUCCUGCAUAUUUAAUUUAGCAAAAUUUUCCAAAAAGCUACUAGAGAAUUAAGGCUGUUAGAGGGUAUUAAAUUAUGUGAAUUCUGUGUGUCUAACCAGAUCACACACACUGUGUAUUUAUAACGUAGAUACAAUAAAUACAAGGAAGCCUAGGUGGUUGGGGAGACUAGGACUAUUAAUAACUAAUCUAGGAAGAUGUAAAGUACAUAGAGUAUCUACAUAUUUUUUUGAUUCUAACACUCCUCCUCAAGCUGGAGCAUACAUGUCGUAUGCACCAAGCUUGUUACAAAUAGAUUCAACCCGAGGUCCUGUAAGGGACUUAGUAAAUAUGUCAGCUAAUUGAUCAUUUGAACCAACAAAAUCAGUUACAAUUUCUCCUGAAAGAACUUUAUCUCGUACAAAGUGACAAUCGAUCUCUAUAUGUUUAGUUCUUUCAUGAAAAACCAGGUUGGAGGCAAUAUGUAGUGCAGCUUGGUUGUCACAAAUUAAUUUCAUUGUUUUGACAUCUCCUAAUUUGAGUUGUUGGAGUAAUUGUCUUAGCCACGUAAGUUCACAAGCUGCUGCGGUCAUAGCAUGAUAUUCUGCUUCUGCACUCAACCUUGCAACUAUGUUUUGUUUCUUGCUCUGCCAUGAGAUCAAAUUUCCUCCAAUGAGGACACAAUACCCUGAAGUGGAUCUUCUAUCUGCUGGUGAACCUGCCCAAUCAGCAUCAGAAUAACCCACAACUUGGGUGUUGCCCUUGUUUUCAUAAAGUAAUCCUUUACCUGGUACACUCUUUAUAUACUUAAGAAUGCGAAUCACAGCGUUCCAAUGUUCAUCACAUGGAGCAUUUAGAAAUUGGCUAACCACACUAACAUCAAAAGUAAUGUCCGGUCUUGUCACUGUGAGGUAAUUAAGUUUGCCAACUAGACGACGAUAUCUACCAGGGUCUUUCAAUGGCUGUCCUGUUAAGCUGUCCAAGGUAAACGGCCGUACGUGUCACGGUAACGACACCAUCAUAUGUGCCACAGUCAGAUCGACCAGUCCCCGAAGUGUCUCCAUCAACCACUGUCUCACGCGCCGUCCUGCACUCUCUCACAUGCCGUCACAUGCGUUUCUGAAUCUCUCAGUCUUGCCGGAGCGUGAAGGCCACACACCACUGUACAGUCCUCUGACGAGUCCGCCGUUGGUUCUGUUAGACUCGCCUCCCCUUCUUAGUUCAUUGGGACCACUUCCAGUUCGUGGAUCCCACGUUUAAGGUGUGUUCCAGUGGUUUCUUUUCUGUUUAAUAACUUCUGUAUUGUUGUGAACGCAUCCACAUGGCUUUUCUGCAGUGUUUUGGUUGAUGUCCCCAAUGUCUAUGGGCUUUGAUACUAGGCCCAAAUCAAGGAUAUGGAGGGUUUACAAGAGAAAGAAAGGGAAAGUCAUAGAAAAUAAUGACGUGGCCAAGUGAUGCAUGAUGUGCACGGUUUAUAGCUAUAUAAGUGGUGUUAGUGAGAUAGAAUAAUCAUCUGACCCAAUCAUUGCAACUUUGUUUGGAUGCAGUUCAUGAAAGUUUAUUAUGGUUCCAAUACUAGUUGGUUUGAUUUUCUCUUUUAAAGGGUAUAUUUAUAUCAAGCUUAAUGCUUGUAAGCUAUAGCUUGAGGGUGAGUGUUAGAAUAUUAGAAAAUAUCUUAUAAUAUAUGAAUAAGAUUUAAAUUAUAUUCUGUAGAGUAAACAUCUCUGAUUAGGUUUGUUGGUUCUUAUCCUUAGUUUAGUUGUAGAUUUAAAUGCAAUCACUUGGUUAUAGUAGUAUAUCAAGUGAGUGUCAAGCUACUAUUAAGUCAUUAUCAAUAAUAUUCAAAGUUCUUGUUAUUCUCUCUUCCUUUUACCUAAAAUCUCACAAAUUCAAUAAGUAUCUUUGAUUUGGUUGUUGAUGACAAUGAACAAUUUGAACAUGGAAGUUGAUGUGGUAGGGAACCUCCUUUAUUUUCAAUUUUAUUUUGUGACUUAUGUUCAUUUUAUGCAGCCCUGUUCCUCUUAUAAAGAAUAAGAAGAUGGAAAUUAUACCACCGUAUUACAACCAUGUAAAGCAAUCACAUUCAACAAUGCCAUAUAAUUUGUAAAAAGAGGGUUAUGUGCAAAUGUGACCUGCCGGUCGGGUUCACAGGCCUACUAUAGAUGUUUACUCCUACAGCAACUGCCACAAAAACCCAAAUGCAUGAGAUAGCAGUCAGUGCAGUGCAGCCAUGAGACCGGCACAUCUUGCAGUUUUCUAGCACUCUGAUACAACUGCCUGGUUUGAAACUCUUGGAUUGGAAUUAUCUCCCAACAAAGAGACGGAGAAGAAAAGCAACUCCUUUCGCGUAAAGGUUGCGGUGGACUCACAGCUGCUGGUACAACUUUCUUCAAUAGAGAAACAUGCAAAACCGGAUGGAUCCUACUCUGGAGAGAGUUGGAAAAACAAGCACAGUAUACAGGCUUAACAAGUCUUUGCUUGUUCUCUUUAGUUCAAUACAUACAUGUUUUGUGGCUACUACUACCCCAUAUUUGCUUUGUAAUUUGAACCUUUGAUGAUCUGAUAUCUAAAGUUAGUGUAUUUCUGGUAUAUUUCUAUUUCAACUCACUUGAUGUAAGAUUUUGAAAUAAUGUUUUUAUGAAUUAUGCAUUGCUGUUAAUGAAUUGGAACUGAUUGAUAAAGAUCUGCUGAUUUACAUUUUGAA
Trifolium pratense (red clover) is the source of this 3753-nucleotide long non-coding RNA. RefSeq lists it as uncharacterized. The record is from RefSeq and is a predicted model, not a curated record. The transcript has 5 exons. Lineage: Eukaryota; Viridiplantae; Streptophyta; Magnoliopsida; Fabales; Fabaceae.